UACGUAGGGUGCAAGCGUUGUCCGGAAUUAUUGGGCGUAAAGAGCUCGUAGGCGGUUUGUCGCGUCUGCUGUGAAAACUGGAGGCUCAACCUCCAGCCUGCAGUGGGUACGGGCAGACUAGAGUGCGGUAGGGGAGAUUGGAAUUCCUGGUGUAGCGGUGAAAUGCGCAGAUAUCAGGAGGAACACCAAUGGCGAAGGCAGCACUCUGGGACGGUACUGACGCUGAGACGCGAAAGCGUGGGGAGCAAACAGG
RNAcentral lists this ribosomal RNA (253 nucleotides) under uncultured bacterium. Its description in RNAcentral is "partial 16S ribosomal RNA". It matches the Rfam family "Bacterial small subunit ribosomal RNA", at positions 524 to 776 of the family's 1533-position model. The record is from RNAcentral.